GAGUUUGAUCGUGGCUCAGAUUGAACGCUGGCGGCAUGCCUUACACAUGCAAGUCGAACGGCAGCAUGAUCUAGCUUGCUAGAUUGAUGGCGAGUGGCGAACGGGUGAGUAAUACAUCGGAACGUGCCCUGUAGUGGGGAUAACUAGUCGAAAGAUUAGCUAAUACCGCAUACGACCUGAGGGUGAAAGUGGGGGACCGCAAGGCCUCAUGCUAUAGGAGCGGCCGAUGUCUGAUUAGCUAGUUGGUGGGGUAAAGGCCCACCAAGGCGACGAUCAGUAGCUGGUCUGAGAGGACGAUCAGCCACACUGGGACUGAGACACGGCCCAGACUCCUACGGGAGGCAGCAGUGGGGAAUUUUGGACAAUGGGCGAAAGCCUGAUCCAGCAAUGCCGCGUGUGUGAAGAAGGCCUUCGG
Molecule: ribosomal RNA, 415 nt
Filed under: uncultured microorganism
Description: bacterial SSU rRNA
Rfam family: Bacterial small subunit ribosomal RNA
Source: RNAcentral